This 429-nucleotide ribosomal RNA is filed under the name uncultured bacterium. RNAcentral describes it as "bacterial SSU rRNA". It matches the Rfam family "Bacterial small subunit ribosomal RNA", at positions 355 to 775 of the family's 1533-position model. The record is from RNAcentral.
UGAGGAAUCUUGCGCAAUGGGGGAAACCCUGACGCAGCAACGCCGUGUGAGUGAGGAAGGUCUUCGGGUCGUAAAGCUCUGUCAGGCGGGAAGAAAUGCAUGGAGGUGAACAGCCGCCAUGCUUGACGGUACCGCCAGAGGAAGCACCGGCUAACUCCGUGCCAGCAGCCGCGGUAAUACGGGGGGUGCAAGCGUUAUUCGGAAUCAUUGGGCGUAAAGAGCGUGUAGGCGGCUUGGUAAGUCAGAUGUGAAAGCCCUGGGCUCAACCCGGGAAGUGCAUUUGAAACUGCCAGGGUCGAGUAGGGGAGAGGGAAGUGGAAUUCCUGGUGUAGAGGUGAAAUUCGUAGAUAUCAGGAGGAACACCGGUGGCGAAGGCGACUUCCUGGCCCUAUACUGACGCUGAGACGCGAGAGCGUGGGUAGCAAACAG